Amphibalanus amphitrite is the source of this 5487-nucleotide long non-coding RNA. RefSeq lists it as uncharacterized. The record is from RefSeq and is a predicted model, not a curated record. NCBI's taxonomy places the organism in Eukaryota, Metazoa, Arthropoda, Thecostraca, Balanomorpha, Balanidae. The transcript has 4 exons.
UUUGCGAGGCACGCGACGGGAGCCUUGAGGAGCUUUCCAUGCUAAAGCGCCUCUAAACCCAGGUCUCACUUGGAGAUCGAUCUCACUCGGAGAUCAUGAGUCUGUUGUAGAGUGGCGUCAUUUUACGUCCAGUCCACCGAACCAGUGUGCACAAUUGCUGGCGGUGGAUACCAGACUCCCCCCACGGGUCGUCAUGUGCGAGGCAAGGUCGGGGAUAAGAUAUCACGGCAGCAAUUGAAGAUAAAAUUGAGAUUCUUUAUGUAAAUGCUAUUAGGCUGCUACAUUUGCACAAUGAGUGAGUGCAAAGCUUCUCUUUAAUUGAUAUUUUUCAUUAUUCAAGCAUACUAUUACCUAAUACGUCUGAGUCUACAUUCACUUUAUCCACGAAAAUGCUUCAAAAUCGCGUUUUUCGUCGGUAAAUAGCAUUGUAACCUUGCGUCAGUUGACACACGCUUUCACUGCCGCAUCCGGACUCUCAGUGCAUAUUUGUCUAUGCAUCAUGAGCUUAAGUAUUGUUUCCUUUUUCGUUAGAUCAAGCUUCAACUUCUAGCGCUUAAUCGCUCAUGCCAAGCAAAGUUUGCGGACUUGUUAAAGGUUAAAAGAAAAUAUAUUUCCUUCAACAGAUGUCUAUAAAAUGAGGCUGCAAAUGAGCGGUUUUCUUCUGGCAAUUAUGGUACUAUAGCACGUUGCUGAUGGAAGGCGGUCAAGAAAAAGAUUAUUUGCAGUUGUGCCUCAUCGUCACUUAUUUGCCAAAUGAAAUUUUAAUUGCUGCUGUUAUCCCCGGCUAUAGUGUCUACGGUGGCGAGCUUUCUCCGCGGACCUUCAACUUCAAGACCUUCUACUUCAAGACCUUCAACUUCUAAACAACUAAAGGGAUAUUCUCAUACUGCACUGUCCAUGACGUGCAUGUCGGGUCAUCGACAUGCAUGUUCAAUACCAUUAGUGCACAUGCUGCACCAGACUAUAUUUACGGACGUUGACUGUUUGCUUUAGGCACUGUUUCAAGCAUUGUACGAUGGCCGAUAACAAAAGUAUUUGUUAACGUUUUCAAGUUCCAUUCGGAGUAUCCGAAACUACGACGCAAUGUUAGUCGGAACUAACGUAUCUAGUUAAUCAUGUUAUCGCAUGAUGUUCUUGCUCAUUGGCAAACAUUAUUUCAGCAGUCGAUACGUCCUCCAAACUUCAGUAACUGUUACUAUAUGGUCCCCGUUCGUCACAAACGACCGUUGACAUUUUGUCAACCUCAAAUUCGAAUAUAUUAACCGUUUACACGCACGAGAAUAUCCCUUUAUCCAAACUAGCAAGUGUGUCUACUGUUUUCUUACUAGGCAAACAAAAGUUUGUCACAGCAUGUGCGCAGUUCACUUUACCUAUGUGCAUUCAUACUAAAAGCCAUUCGUCCACAAGCAAGUUAUUUAUUUGGGCUAUUGACGUAAGCUUUCAUGAAGGCCAAACCAAUGCUGAUUCGUCAAUGCUGAUUGUCAGCUUGAAAGUAAAGAUGAGCAAAGUGGUUCAACUGAAUCUUAUGGUUGCAGUAGGGCAUAUUAGAAGUAAGUGACAAGUAUGUGUCAGCAAUUGUUUAUGCUUCUUAACCCUAGAUACUUUUGAUUCAAUCCUUUUGGUGAUGACGUAAUGUGGCAGAAAACAGUAGACACACUUCAUCUCAUCGGAAACCCUGAAUGAUUGGUAUUUGUGAGCAUGUGUGCCUGUUAGUGUGUAAGGGUGGAUGUGGGUGUGUGGGUAUGUAUGUGCGUAUGUGAGAGUGUGCGUGUCAUCUUACACGUAAUUUAGUGAAUGAGUGAAUUGGUACUAGUUUUCAAGUAAAUACGUGCAUGAGGGCGUGUAGUCAGUGGUGUAUGGAACUAGCAUUGUGCCUGCCUGCUGCCAACGAAAUAUGCAAGCCCACACAGAGAAAACAGUUUUAUUGUGCAAAACUACAUGCUGCUGGCAGGGUUUACAUGCAAGUCACAUAUUGCAGGUCUACCAUAAGCAGAGCGAUGUGACAUCUGAUAAGUACCUAACUCACAGCAACACAUACUCUGCAUGUCCAGGGAAAGUGAGUUGUGCUCGGAACAGAUUGGCCAGACAGUUUUGUCCUAUCAAAUUCAGAAUUGUUUCAUCCUCCUCACAGUUGCCAUUAACAUCAUGAGCACACAUUAUUGCUAGAUCUGAAUGCCAGCUGCCUAUUGCACCGCUGGCACGUAGUUUGAGACAAAGAUGCCGCCAGUUUUCCACCUCGCUGCUGAUACAAUGCAAUACUGCUACAAAAUGUCCGUGUUCUGUGUUUUUAGUGUUGUAUGUUUGUAUAUGAGUCUUGCGUCGUGUGAACAUUACCUACAUGAGUUUAAAGUGUUCCCGCGAAAGUAGGUACUGAAUUAGCUCAAGCCAGGAUUGCGUUGCGGAUAUAUUUGUAGGCCAUACAAUGUUUUAUGGCGUCAUUUACGACAUUUCCUGUUUUUCUUGUCGUUGUAUGCACGUGAGUUGUGCCGCAUGUUGCGCUUGUAAAUCAUGUUCUCAAUGUCAUUUUCUUUUGGUACAAUUGGUCACCACUACACAUCACUCGCAUACACUCGCCCAAGCAAGUCGGAUAUCAAUCACUGUCCAGAAGUGCAUGAUGCAUUCAACCACGCAUAGAACACUGGCACACCAAGAACAUGAACUCACGCAAAAACGAGAGGGCUAUCACACGACUUCGCAUUGGACACACCGCUAUCACACACAACUACAUCAUCACAAGAAGCCCGAGACCGAAAUGCAACACCUGCAACACUUUCAUCACUGUCAAACAUCUGCUACUCACAUGCCCACAAUACCAACACCACAGGACACACAUACAAACAUACUGCAGAGACGCCAACAUCCCACUAACACUCACAACACUGCUCGGGGACUUACACCCCGAGCUAACAACACUACUCAUCCACUAAAGACACAACACUGGGCUGAUCAAUGACCUGUAAAUCUCCUCCCCUAGAGCCAAGGACAAAAAAGCCAAAAAAGCCAAAAAAAAAAAGCAAAAAAGAAAAAAAAUAUUCAAAACAAUGAGAAUCAAAAUAAAAGACCCCAGAAUGGCAAAAUGGCAAAAAAAAAAAACAAAAAAAAAUAAUAGAAGGGGCAAUCCGGCUACCCGGGAGGAGAUAGCUAGGAACCCAGUCCCACCCCUCAGCCCACCCUUACGAGCCAAGAAGACAACGGACACUUCAAGGCAACGGACGGACCAACAACGAAGACGGACGACAGAACCGGGCCCAAAUACAGGACGCUGUGGUGGCCCGUAAGCUACAAAUACCAUACCAUACCAUACCAGUGCAUCAUGCAGCAGAAUAAGCUUCAUUGAACACACUCGUCAUCAUGAACGGCAUCUAGGAGUUUCAUGAGUUUGGAUCUGUGACCAGCUGAUUUCGCAGUAUCCAAUGGCAACCGUGUAUGACCAGGCGCCGCUUGGACGCCUUGUCCAGUCACGUCUUCUGGGACUGUGUGAUGACUGCCUCUGCAUUCUCAAGUGCCAGUUUCUGCCUCCGGCCCAUUUCAUUAUCAAAGGAUGCUGUUAGCUUAACGAACAGCUCUGCUCCAAGAUUCCAAACGGUUUUACGGUACUGUAUGCCUACAAAACGUUAAUAUUUUUUGGAGGCGGUAAUACUCGGAUGAACUGACCUUUAUGGGUGGGUAUUCAACGUUGAAUAAAGUAGGCUUGUAGCCCUCUGCCUAUUGACUUCUAAGGGUUUUAGUAAUAUUUAUCGAAUAUCUCAUCUGAAAUGCAUUUUCACUCACAGUCGUCGAAAUCGAAAAAUCAUAAGCUUAGAAAUCCGCGGACUUGACAUAUUAUAUUUUAUCGACGAUUCGUUUCGACUUGCUGUCAUGUCAGCUAAUCAUCCGUUGCUUCUCCUAUUUUCACAGGUGCAUUACCAGUCAUCUUUACCGUCGAUACCGUUGAAGAUUUUACCGUCGAUCACGGAGCACCCAUUGCGCUGGCCGUUGCUGGCACUUUUUUAUUUGUCACUAGCUAUUAGUUAUCUGCAGAUAUACAUUAGCCACCUGUACACCCGCUUACACUAGGUCUCAUCAUCUAGUUCUACAUAUGUGUGUGUGUUUGUUUUAAUUGUAUUGCCAAUGAAUUCGGUAGACAUGCUCCGCCCGCAAACAUGUACCACAUGAUGCAGUUCACUGAAUGUAGCAGUUAAUCACUCGUAAAAAGCGGUCAUGUUUUCGUAUAGUGUAGGUAUGCAUCUAUGUAAGCAUGUGUUCACACUCAUGAGCGAUCCACACAUGAUAUUGCAUUUCCUGUUCAGUUAUAUUUUUAGCACUGGAACACGAUGCUCAUACACUGUGUUGUUAUCUUUCUUUUUUCGCCUGCUCCUUCCUCCAACUUGUGUCUUUGAGUAUUUCAGUCACAUGCUCAAACGUUCUUAAAUGCUCUCGCCAUCGGUUUACGGAUGCGUUGAAAACGGACAUGUGAUGACCAAAUUUAACAAUAUGCGGACAAUGGAUCGACUUCUUGAAGCCUGUGGACGUGAUACACCUUCUCCAUCACCAUCAAGAGAUCAACAUUUUCGAAGACACUUGCGUACGGCUGCAGUGUCCGGCGCAAUGCUGAAUGCGACCUGUUAUCUGUUGGAUCUACUCUGUGAGCCCGAACCCCAGUGCAAAUCCCGAAAGAAGAUAACUGCUUGUUUUCUUCACCGCCACCAGUCUACCUGCUCUCUGCACACUCGGCAGAGCGCGGCAGGGCACCCCACGGAGCUGCACUAGUCACAUCCGGGCCCCACGCCGGUCGACGGCCGAUGCGAUGGAGGCACUACUCCGAGGCACUACUGGGAGGCCUGCGGCGCGGACGACGGAUGCGGCAGUUGGUCAAGACACGGCAGCCUACUCGAGGUGCUUCUCGCCUGGAGGACGCAGGCGAAUCGCGUUAUCCUAGCUGUGCCUCGUCAUGGUGCGAUGAGCCUUAAUAGACUAAUGCAUAUUCUUCCUUUGGUUGUAAUUCAUUUGCUGCUGCCCGCUGGGCUAAGGAGUAACUCUGUGCGCCUACUUUGUGCAGACGCUCGUCCAGUGCCGCCCUUCGUUUGCCGCACAUAUCUUUAUUUAUUCUUUGUUACAAUUCCGUCUUUGGUCAUUUUUUUUUUACCAUGGGGGCACUUGAAAGUUUUGUUUUUAAAUCUGUGGACAUUGAACCUGGAAUCGGUUUUUUGUCGGAUUUCGGUUUUGUUUUUGCACUGUGGAAAUAUCUCGUUCAAUAUUUUUUUAAGAUAGGGCGUGUUAAAACUUUUAGUCUCAUUACUCCUCUGUGCAUUCUAAAGUACUAUAAUGUGCAUCUCAAGUGUUUGGUGCUGUACUGUUAUUAUUUAUGGUUAAUCCAGUGCUGAUUUAUGGUUAAUCCAGUUUUUAUUCGAUUGAAUCGUUGUGUGUAAUGUGCAUGACAUCCGCGUACCGCCUGUAGCAGUGUUAUAUAUUUUCAUUUAUGCUGGAAAAUAAUAACUUUCUUGUUCA